AGGGUUCAGUUCCCGGGCGCGGAACCACACCACUCGUCUGUCAGUAGCCACGCUGUGCUGGCAGCUCACAUAGGAGAACUAGAAGGACUUACAACUAGAAUAUACAAAUAUGUACUGGG
Molecule: non-coding RNA, 119 nt
Organism: Ceratotherium simum simum (southern white rhinoceros)
Lineage: Eukaryota; Metazoa; Chordata; Mammalia; Perissodactyla; Rhinocerotidae
Source: RefSeq, a predicted model, not a curated record